UGUGCCAGCAGCCGCGGUAAUACAGAGGGUGCAAGCGUUAAUCGGAAUUACUGGGCGUAAAGCGCGCGUAGGUGGUUCGUUAAGUUGGAUGUGAAAUCCCCGGGCUCAACCUGGGGACUGCAUUCAAAACUGACGAGCUAGAGUAUGGUAGAGGGUGGUGGAAUUUCCUGUGUAGCGGUGAAAUGCGUAGAUAUAGGAAGGACACCAUGCGAAGCGACCACCUGGACUGAUACU
This 234-nucleotide ribosomal RNA is filed under the name uncultured Pseudomonadales bacterium. RNAcentral's name for it is "partial 16S ribosomal RNA". It matches the Rfam family "Bacterial small subunit ribosomal RNA", at positions 504 to 741 of the family's 1533-position model. Lineage: Bacteria; Pseudomonadati; Pseudomonadota; Gammaproteobacteria; Pseudomonadales. The record is from RNAcentral.